This 498-nucleotide long non-coding RNA is filed under the name Pongo abelii (Sumatran orangutan). Its description in RNAcentral is "lincRNA". Lineage: Eukaryota; Metazoa; Chordata; Mammalia; Primates; Hominidae. The record is from RNAcentral.
CCAUAGAAACCUCGUCAGGACUAGCUUUAUCUGUGCUAUGCUAGUGGUACAGGCUCAGUGAUGGGAAAUUCAAGUAGGGAAAAAUAGAAGACUAUGAUAAAGUUGGUGAAUUCACUUUUGUCUUCUCUGGAUAUUUAGUCCCUUAGCACUGAGUGGCAGGGCUCCACAGAAUCCUUGGUUUUUCAAGAAAAGAGGAGAAAACUCUACUAUAGAUUGAAAAAUUAUAUGACAUGUGGAUUUUGGAGAAAGUAUUUUCAAGGGUUAGAUAUCUCAGAUUUCUCUUCUGUUGUCUCUUAUCCUCCUUCUCUUUCCAUAAUCUAGUAGAAAAGCUAUUCUUACUCUCCAGCUUCUCUACCUUUAGAACUGGGGAAACACCACCAGCAUGACUCACUGGGGUGUGGUGACGGUUAUUUUUUCUUAAUUAGUCAAAAUGUGCAAUGUGCUAAUUACUUGAAUCAUAAGAAAAAAAUCAUUAAAUAAAAAUCACAUUUGACCGGC